CCUACGGGAUGCUGCAGUGAGGAAUAUUGGUCCAUGGACGCAAGUCUGAACCAGCCAUUCCGCGUGCAGGAAGACGGCUCUAUGAGUUGUAAACUGCUUUUGUACGAGGGUAAACGCAGAUACGCGUAUCUGUCUGCAAGUAUCGUAUGAAUAAGGAUCGGCUAACUCCGUGCCAGCAGCCGCGGUAAUACGGAGGAUUCAAGCGUUAUCCGGAUUUAUUGGGUUUAAAGGGUGCGUAGGCGGUCGGAUAAGUUAGAGGUGAAAUCCCGAGGCUCAACUUCGGAAUUGCCUCUGAUACUGUUCGGCUAGAGAGUAGUUGCGGUAGGCGGAAUGUAUGGUGUAGCGGUGAAAUGCUUAGAGAUCAUACAGAACACCGAUUGCGAAGGCAGCUUACCAAGCUACUUCUGACGUUGAGGCACGAAAGCGUGGGGAGCAAACAGGAUUAGAUACCCGGGUAGUC
Molecule: ribosomal RNA, 460 nt
Filed under: uncultured bacterium
Lineage: Bacteria
Description: partial 16S ribosomal RNA
Rfam family: Bacterial small subunit ribosomal RNA
Source: RNAcentral